Molecule: ribosomal RNA, 850 nt
Filed under: Bacillus subtilis
Lineage: Bacteria; Bacillati; Bacillota; Bacilli; Caryophanales; Bacillaceae
Description: bacterial SSU rRNA
Rfam family: Bacterial small subunit ribosomal RNA
Source: RNAcentral
UUGCUCCCUGAUGUUAGCGGCGGACGGGUGAGUAACACGUGGGUAACCUGCCUGUAAGACUGGGAUAACUCCGGGAAACCGGGGCUAAUACCGGAUGCUUGUUUGAACCGCAUGGUUCAAACAUAAAAGGUGGCUUCGGCUACCACUUACAGAUGGACCCGCGGCGCAUUAGCUAGUUGGUGAGGUAACGGCUCACCAAGGCAACGAUGCGUAGCCGACCUGAGAGGGUGAUCGGCCACACUGGGACUGAGACACGGCCCAGACUCCUACGGGAGGCAGCAGUAGGGAAUCUUCCGCAAUGGACGAAAGUCUGACGGAGCAACGCCGCGUGAGUGAUGAAGGUUUUCGGAUCGUAAAGCUCUGUUGUUAGGGAAGAACAAGUACCGUUCGAAUAGGGCGGUACCUUGACGGUACCUAACCAGAAAGCCACGGCUAACUACGUGCCAGCAGCCGCGGUAAUACGUAGGUGGCAAGCGUUGUCCGGAAUUAUUGGGCGUAAAGGGCUCGCAGGCGGUUUCUUAAGUCUGAUGUGAAAGCCCCCGGCUCAACCGGGGAGGGUCAUUGGAAACUGGGGAACUUGAGUGCAGAAGAGGAGAGUGGAAUUCCACGUGUAGCGGUGAAAUGCGUAGAGAUGUGGAGGAACACCAGUGGCGAAGGCGACUCUCUGGUCUGUAACUGACGCUGAGGAGCGAAAGCGUGGGGAGCGAACAGGAUUAGAUACCCUGGUAGUCCACGCCGUAAACGAUGAGUGCUAAGUGUUAGGGGGUUUCCGCCCCUUAGUGCUGCAGCUAACGCAUUAAGCACUCCGCCUGGGGAGUACGGUCGCAAGACUGAAACUCAAAGGAAUUGA